Molecule: long non-coding RNA, 306 nt
Filed under: Elaeis guineensis (African oil palm)
Lineage: Eukaryota; Viridiplantae; Streptophyta; Magnoliopsida; Arecales; Arecaceae
Description: long non-coding RNA (EGUI_LNC062236)
Source: RNAcentral
GAAACAGGGGAUAUUUUUUCCAACAAAAUCCGACAAAUCCGUUCCGAUCGUGCAUACAGGCAAGAGAAGGAAGGGGGAGAAGGGUGGAAGUGGAGUCGGGGUUUACCUCGAGCUCCGAUGAUGUCUCCGACGAGAACUUGAGGCAAACACGGUGAAGGCUUCGGUGAGCAAAUUUCCGACGAUUCUCGCCAUUUUGCCCUCGAUUGCUGGAUGGGAGGAAGGGAGAAGAGAUCUCCCCUUUAAAUAGAGCCGAAGGGGAGGAGUUUGACUCCUCUCUGUGGCAUUUUCCAACUCCGUUUAGGAGCC